UUGAACGCUGGCGGCAUGCUUUACACAUGCAAGUCGGACGGCAGCGGGGUAGUGCUUGCACUACUGCCGGCGAGUGGCGAACGGGUGAGUAAUAUAUUGGAACGUACCGAGUAAUGGGGGAUAACCAAUCGAAAGAUUGGCUAAUACCGCAUACGCUCUGAGGAGGAAAGCAGGGGACCUUCGGGCCUUGCGUUAUUCGAGCGGCCAAUAUCUGAUUAGCUAGUUGGUGGGGUAAAGGCCUACCAAGGCGACGAUCAGUAGCGGGUCUGAGAGGAUGAUCCGCCACACUGGGACUGAGACACGGCCCAGACUCCUACGGGAGGCAGCAGUGGGGAAUUUUGGACAAUGGGCGCAAGCCUGAUCCAGCCAUGCCGCGUGUCUGAAGAAGGCCUUCGGGUUGUAAAGGACUUUUGUUAGGGAAGAAAAAGGAGCGGUUAAUACCCGUUUCUGCUGACGGUACCUAAAGAAUAAGCACCGGCUAACUACGUGCCAGCAGCCGCGGUAAUACGUAGGGUGCGAGCGUUAAUCGGAAUUACUGGGCGUAAAGCGAGCGCAGACGGUUACUUAAGCAGGAUGUGAAAUCCCCGGGCUCAACCUGGGAACUGCGUUCUGAACUGGGU
RNAcentral lists this ribosomal RNA (620 nucleotides) under Neisseria elongata. Its description in RNAcentral is "bacterial SSU rRNA". It matches the Rfam family "Bacterial small subunit ribosomal RNA", at positions 29 to 638 of the family's 1533-position model. The record is from RNAcentral. Lineage: Bacteria; Pseudomonadati; Pseudomonadota; Betaproteobacteria; Neisseriales; Neisseriaceae.